GUAGGUGGCAAGCGUUAUCCGGAAUNAUUGGGCGUAAAGAGGGAGCAGGCGGCAGCAAGGGUCUGUGGUGAAAGCCUGAAGCUUAACUUCAGUAAGCCAUAGAAACCAGGCAGCUAGAGUGCAGGAGAGGAUCGUGGAAUUCCAUGUGUAGCGGUGAAAUGCGUAGAUAUAUGGAGGAACACCAGUGGCGAAGGCGACGAUCUGGCCUGCAACUGACGCUCAGUCCCGAAAGCGUGGGGAGCAAAUAGGAUUAGAUACCCUAGUAGUCCACGCCGUAAACGAUGAGUACUAAGUGUUGGAUGUCAAAGUUCAGUGCUGCAGUUAACGCAAUAAGUACUCCGCCUGAGUAGU
This 351-nucleotide ribosomal RNA is filed under the name uncultured bacterium. Its description in RNAcentral is "bacterial SSU rRNA". It matches the Rfam family "Bacterial small subunit ribosomal RNA", at positions 527 to 881 of the family's 1533-position model. The record is from RNAcentral.